CCUACGGGUGGCAGCAGUGAGGAAUAUUGGUCAAUGGGCGUAAGCCUGAACCAGCCAAGUCGCGUGAGUGAUGAAGGUUCUAUGGAUCGUAAACCUCUUUUAUAAGGGAAUAAAUUUCGGGACGUGUCCCGUUUUGUAUGUACCUUAUGAAUAAGGAUCGGCUAACUCCGUGCCAGCAGCCGCGGUAAUACGGAGGAUCCGAGCGUUAUCCGGAUUUAUUGGGUUUAAAGGGUUCGUAGGCGGCUUUUUAAGUCAGCGGUGAAAGUCUGUGGCUCAACCAUAGAAUUGCCGCUGAGACUGGGCGGCUAGAGUAUGGUUGAGGCAGGCGGAAUGCGUGGUGUAGCGGUGAAAUGCUUAGAUAUGACGCAGAACCCCGAGUGCGAAGGCAGCCUGCCAAGCCAUGACUGACGCUGAUGCACGAAAGCGUGGGGAUCAAACAGGAUUAGAUACCCGAGUAGUC
RNAcentral lists this ribosomal RNA (460 nucleotides) under uncultured bacterium. Its description in RNAcentral is "partial 16S ribosomal RNA". It matches the Rfam family "Bacterial small subunit ribosomal RNA", at positions 338 to 795 of the family's 1533-position model. The record is from RNAcentral.